GUGGGGAAUUUUGGACAAUGGGCGCAAGCCUGAUCCAGCAAUGCCGCGUGCAGGAAGAAGGCCUUCGGGUUGUAAACUGCUUUUGUACGGAACGAAACGGUCCGGGUUAAUACCCUGGGCUAAUGACGGUACCGUAAGAAUAAGCACCGGCUAACUACGUGCCAGCAGCCGCGGUAAUACGUCGGGUGCAAGCGUUAAUCGUAAUUACUGGGCGUAACGCGUGCGCAGGCGGUUUUGUAAGACAGGCGUGAAAUCCCCGGGCUCAACCGUGGAAGUGCGCGUGGGACUGCAAGGCUGGAGUGCGGAAGAGGGGGAUGGAAUUCCGCGUGUAGCAGUGAAAUGCGUAGAUAUGCGGAGGAACACCGAUGGCGAAGGCAAUCCCCUGGGCCUGCACUGACGCUAAUGCACGAAAGCGUGGGGAGCAAACAGGAUUAGAAACCCUAGUAGUCC
Molecule: ribosomal RNA, 450 nt
Filed under: uncultured bacterium
Lineage: Bacteria
Description: partial 16S ribosomal RNA
Rfam family: Bacterial small subunit ribosomal RNA
Source: RNAcentral